GAUGAACGCUGGCGGCGUGCCUAAUACAUGCAAGUCGAGCGAACAGACGAGGAGCUUGCUCCUCUGAUGUUAGCGGCGGACGGGUGAGUAACACGUGGAUAACCUACCUAUAAGACUGGGAUAACUUCGGGAAACCGGAGCUAAUACCGGAUAAAAUUUUGAACCGCAUGGUUCAAAAGUGAAAGACGGUCUUGCUGUCACUUAUAGAUGGAUCCGCGCCGCAUUAGCUAGUUGGUAAGGUAACGGCUUACCAAGGCAACGAUGCGUAGCCGACCUGAGAGGGUGAUCGGCCACACUGGAACUGAGACACGGUCCAGACUCCUACGGGAGGCAGCAGUAGGGAAUCUUCCGCAAUGGGCGAAAGCCUGACGGAGCAACGCCGCGUGAGUGAAGAAGGUCUUCGGAUCGUAAAACUCUGUUAUUAGGGAAGAACAAAUGUGUAAGUAACUAUGCACGUCUUGACGGUACCUAAUCAGAAAGCCACGGCUAACUACGUG
Molecule: ribosomal RNA, 497 nt
Filed under: uncultured bacterium
Lineage: Bacteria
Description: partial 16S ribosomal RNA
Rfam family: Bacterial small subunit ribosomal RNA
Source: RNAcentral